RNAcentral lists this ribosomal RNA (254 nucleotides) under uncultured bacterium. Its description in RNAcentral is "partial 16S ribosomal RNA". It matches the Rfam family "Bacterial small subunit ribosomal RNA", at positions 524 to 776 of the family's 1533-position model. The record is from RNAcentral.
CACGUAGGGUGCGAGCGUUGUCCGGAAUUAUUGGGCGUAAAGAGCUCGUAGGCGGUGUGUCGCGUCGGCCGUGAAAACCUGCAGCUUAACUGUGGGCUUGCGGUCGAUACGGGCAUCACUGGAGUUCGGCAGGGGAGACUGGAAUUCCUGGUGUAGCGGUGAAAUGCGCAGAUAUCAGGGGGAACACCGGUGGCGAAGGCGGGUCUCUGGGCCGCUACUGACGCUGAGGAGCGAAAGCUAGGGGAGCGAACAGG